ACAACGGUAUAGCUCAGCAGCGGCGAGUGAAGCGGCAAGAGCUCAGAUUUGAAAUCGUGCUUUGCGGCACGAGUUGUAGAUUGCAGGUUGGAGUCUGUGUGGAAGGCGGUGUCCAAGUCCCUUGGAACAGGGCGCCCAGGAGGGUGAGAGCCCCGUGGGAUGCCGGCGGAAGCAGUGAGGCCCUUCUGACGAGUCGAGUUGUUUGGGAAUGCAGCUCCAAGCGGGUGGUAAAUUCCAUCUAAGGCUAAAUACUGGCGAGAGACCGAUAGCGAACAAGUACUGUGAAGGAAAGAUGAAAAGCACUUUGAAAAGAGAGUGAAACAGCACGUGAAAUUGUUGAAAGGGAAGGGUAUUGCGCCCGACAUGGGGAUUGCGCACCGCUGCCUCUCGUGGGCGGCGCUCUGGGCUUUCCCUGGGCCAGCAUCGGUUCUUGCUGCAGGAGAAGGGGUUCUGGAACGUGGCUCUUCGGAGUGUUAUAGCCAGGGCCAGAUGCUGCGUGCGGGGACCGAGGACUGCGGCCGUGUAGGUCACGGAUGCUGGCAGAACGGCGCAACACCGCCCGUUUAAAAAAAGGGGGAAAAAAGGGACCUUUUUCCUCCGCUAUUUUUUUUUUAAAAACUUGG
This 623-nucleotide ribosomal RNA is filed under the name Pichia kudriavzevii. RNAcentral describes it as "partial 26S ribosomal RNA". It matches the Rfam family "Eukaryotic large subunit ribosomal RNA", at positions 65 to 714 of the family's 3401-position model. Lineage: Eukaryota; Fungi; Ascomycota; Pichiomycetes; Pichiales; Pichiaceae. The record is from RNAcentral.